UAUGCCUUUGUUUUGGAACAGUUGUCUGCUCUGUACUUGAUAUUUCACACAUUGAGGGAGACAUUUUUUCAUCAUUUAAAGCAGGUUAUCCAUUCUGGGGAGCCAUAUUUUUUCUAUUUCUGGAAUGUUGUCAAUUAUAUCUGAAAGGAGAAAUGCAACAUAUCUGUGAGAGGAAGCCUGGGAGCAAACACUGCCAGCAGCAUAGCUGGGGGAACGGGAAUUACCAUCCUGAUCAUCAACCUGAAGAAGAGCUUGGCCUAUAUCCACAUCCACAGUUGCCAGAAAUUUUUUGAGACCAAGUGCUUUAUGGCUUCCUUUUCCACUAAAUUGUAGUGAUGAUGCUGUUUCUCACCAUUCUGGGACUUGGUAGUGCUGUGUCACUCACAAUCUGUGGAGCUGGGGAAGAACUCAAAGGAAACAAGUUCCAGAGGAUCGUGUUUAUGAAGAAUUA
This 451-nucleotide long non-coding RNA is filed under the name Homo sapiens (human). Its description in RNAcentral is "long non-coding RNA NONHSAT021558.2". The record is from RNAcentral. Lineage: Eukaryota; Metazoa; Chordata; Mammalia; Primates; Hominidae.